UUCUUAAAGAGAUAAUUUUAAGUAAAAUCUGCUCAAUGAAAUAUUAAAUAGCCGCAGAAUAUAUUACUGUGCUAAGGUAGCAUAAUCAUUUGUCUAUUAAUUAUAGACUAGUAUGAAAGAUUUAAUAUAUUAAACAUUGUUUCAUAAUUAAUAUAUUUAAAUUAUUUUAAGUAUUAAAAAAUACUUAUAUGAGAAAAAGACGACAAGACCCUGUUGAACUUUGAACUGUAGUUUAGCUGGGGCAGCUAAAUAAAUAUAAUUUUAUAUUACAAUAAUAAAGAGAAGAACUAAUAUAAUUAAUUAAUCGAACAAGUUACCACAGGGAUAACAGCGUAAUACUUUUCAAAAGUUCUUAUAUAAAAAAGUGUUUACGACCUCGAUGUUGAAUAUUUACCUAAUUUAAGCAAAAUUAAAUAUUAUAUAUUAAGGAAGUCUGUUCGACUUUUAAAUUAAUACA
This 457-nucleotide ribosomal RNA is filed under the name Tangaroa sp. JC5. RNAcentral's name for it is "partial 16S ribosomal RNA". Lineage: Eukaryota; Metazoa; Arthropoda; Arachnida; Araneae; Uloboridae. The record is from RNAcentral.